Molecule: ribosomal RNA, 253 nt
Filed under: uncultured prokaryote
Description: partial 16S ribosomal RNA
Rfam family: Bacterial small subunit ribosomal RNA
Source: RNAcentral
GACAGAGGGUGCAAACGUUGUUCGGAAUCACUGGGCAUAAAGCGCACGUAGGCGGUUCGUUAAGUCGCGCGUGAAAGCCCCCGGCUCAACCGGGGAACAGCGCGCGAUACUGGCGAGCUCGAGGACGGUAGGGGUGAGCGGAACUCCAGGUGGAGCGGUGAAAUGCGUAGAUAUCUGGAGGAACACCGGUGGCGAAAGCGGCUCACUGGACCGUAUCUGACGCUGAGGUGCGAAAGCUAGGGUAGCAAACGGG